RNAcentral lists this ribosomal RNA (251 nucleotides) under uncultured prokaryote. RNAcentral describes it as "partial 16S rRNA". It matches the Rfam family "Bacterial small subunit ribosomal RNA", at positions 525 to 775 of the family's 1533-position model. The record is from RNAcentral.
ACGGAGGAUCCAAGCGUUAUCCGGAUUUAUUGGGUUUAAAGGGUGCGCAGGCGGAUCAAUAAGUCAGGGGUGAAAAAUUUCAGCUUAACUGGAAUCGUGCCUUUGAUACUGUUGGACUAGAGUAUAAUUGACGUGACUGGAAUGUGAUGUGUAACGGUGAAAUUCUUAGAUAUGUCACAGAACGCCAAUCGUGUAGACAUGUCACGGAAUUAUUUCUGAGGCUCAUGCGCGAAAGCGUGGGGAGCUAACAG